UAAACUUGAAACAUUUGAAACAUUGUUGC
RNAcentral lists this small RNA (29 nucleotides) under Bombyx mori (domestic silkworm). RNAcentral describes it as "ovarian small RNA-18249". The record is from RNAcentral. Lineage: Eukaryota; Metazoa; Arthropoda; Insecta; Lepidoptera; Bombycidae.